GGGUAUUUAUUCCUGUAGUAAAUGUCUCACAUUUCCCGUCUUUAAUGUCUUACAGCUCUGACAACUUUCUCAAGGUGUCCAGUCUUGGAUUAUGGAUAUCCUGUGGCCCACGGGUCUAACUUUUGGUAUUUCUAUUCAUCAAGAGGAGACUUCAGGCUCCAAAACUGAGCCAAAUUUCUGGAAGGGGUGGCUUAGGAGAAUACCUUUCCCAAGAAAGGUUAAUGCAUCAUUUAUAUUCCAGCAAAUAUGACUAAUCUGAAUUGCUGUUGGUGCCGUUUAAGAUUGACUCUUCAGGCACAAGCAGCAUCUCAAGAAAACAUAGAGCAAUUAAGAGACAGCCAUAUGGCUGCAGUAAAACCUCAGGUGGAACUCAGAACUAAAGAUCUGGAAUCCGAACUCUACAAAAUGAAAAUGUCUCAGGAAGACUUAAAAAUGUUGAAUUGGAAAAAUAUAAUCUACUCUAUCAAGUAGAAGUAGAAGCUAGAAAAUCCUUGUCAUGUAAACAUGAAAAGACUCCACAGCACACUGAUGGGAUUUUUAUUGAUUCCUCAAUUAGUCAUCAGGAACCUUGGAGUGAGGAACACAAAAGGAAGGGGUGCUUGCGUCUGUGAUGCCCGAGUCCCCGCGUUGGCGGGAGCCCUGCCUCCAGCUCCCCUCCCCAGCCACGAAGUGUCUCCCUUCUGCAGAGGUCGAUGUCAUCAAACGAGACCCCGACUCUCAUGCAGAGGUUCUC
Molecule: long non-coding RNA, 733 nt
Organism: Lemur catta (Ring-tailed lemur)
Lineage: Eukaryota; Metazoa; Chordata; Mammalia; Primates; Lemuridae
Exons: 3
Source: RefSeq, a predicted model, not a curated record